RNAcentral lists this transfer RNA (93 nucleotides) under Bacteroidota bacterium. RNAcentral describes it as "Bacteroidetes bacterium (hydrothermal vent metagenome) tRNA-Ser". It matches the Rfam family "tRNA". From Rfam's summary of the family: Transfer RNA (tRNA) molecules are approximately 80 nucleotides in length. Their secondary structure includes four short double-helical elements and three loops (D, anti-codon, and T loops). Further hydrogen bonds mediate the characteristic L-shaped molecular structure. tRNAs have two regions of fundamental functional importance: the anti-codon, which is responsible for specific mRNA codon recognition, and the 3' end, to which the tRNAs corresponding amino acid is attached (by aminoacyl-tRNA synthetases). tRNAs cope with the degeneracy of the genetic code in two manners: having more than one tRNA (with a specific anti-codon) for a particular amino acid; and 'wobble' base-pairing, i.e. permitting non-standard base-pairing at the 3rd anti-codon position. Lineage: Bacteria; Pseudomonadati; Bacteroidota. The record is from RNAcentral.
GGAGAGGUGUCCGAGUGGCUGAAGGAGCACGCUUGGAAAGCGUGUGUUGCGGUAGCCCCGCAACCGGGGGUUCGAAUCCCCCCCUCUCCGCCG